AAAAAGAUAAGCUAAGAAAUAAGCUUUUAGGUUCAUACCCUAAUUAUAGAUAUUAAUCUUCUUUUUA
Molecule: transfer RNA, 67 nt
Filed under: Krisna furcata
Lineage: Eukaryota; Metazoa; Arthropoda; Insecta; Hemiptera; Cicadellidae
Description: tRNA-Met
Source: RNAcentral